RNAcentral lists this ribosomal RNA (524 nucleotides) under uncultured bacterium. RNAcentral's name for it is "partial 16S ribosomal RNA". It matches the Rfam family "Bacterial small subunit ribosomal RNA", at positions 28 to 523 of the family's 1533-position model. The record is from RNAcentral.
GACGAACGCUGGCGGCGUGCCUAAUACAUGCAAGUCGAGCGCAGGAAAUCGACGGAACCCUUCGGGGGGAAGUCGACGGAAUGAGCGGCGGACGGGUGAGUAACACGUAAAGAACCUGCCCUCAGGUCUGGGAUAACCACGAGAAAUCGGGGCUAAUACCGGAUGGGUCAUCGGACCGCAUGGUCCGAGGAUGAAAGGCGCUUCGGCGUCGCCUGGGGAUGGCUUUGCGGUGCAUUAGCUAGUUGGUGGGGUAAUGGCCCACCAAGGCGACGAUGCAUAGCCGACCUGAGAGGGUGAUCGGCCACACUGGGACUGAGACACGGCCCAGACUCCUACGGGAGGCAGCAGUAGGGAAUCUUCCACAAUGGACGAAAGUCUGAUGGAGCAACGCCACGUGAACGAUGAAGGCCUUCGGGUCGUAAAGUUCUGUUGUAAGGGAAGAACAAGUGCCGCAGGCAAUGGCGGCACCUUGACGGUACCUUGCGAGAAAGCCACGGCUAACUACGUGCCAGCAGCCGCCGUAA